AGAGUUUGAUCCUGGCUCAGGACGAACGCUGGCGGCGCGCCUAACACAUGCAAGUCGAACGAGCGAGAGAGAGCUUGCUUUCUCGAGCGAGUGGCGAACGGGUGAGUAACGCGUGAGGAACCUGCCCCAAAGAGGGGGACAACAGUUGGAAACGACUGCUAAUACCGCAUAAGCCCACGGGUCGGCAUCGACCAGAGGGAAAAGGAGCAAUCCGCUUUGAGAUGGCCUCGCGUCCGAUUAGCUAGUUGGUGAGGUAACGGCCCACCAAGGCAACGAUCGGUAGCCGGACUGAGAGGUUGAACGGCCACAUUGGGACUGAGACACGGCCCAGACUCCUACGGGAGGCAGCAGUGGGGAAUAUUGCACAAUGGGGGAAACCCUGAUGCAGCGACGCCGCGUGGAGGAAGAAGGUCUUCGGAUUGUAAACUCCUGUUGUUGGGGAAGAUAAUGACGGUACCCAACAAGGAAGUGACGGCUAACUACGUGCCAGCAGCCGCGGUAAAACGUAGGUCACAAGCGUUGUCCGGAAUUACUGGGUGUAAAGGGAGCGCAGGCGGGAAGACAAGUUGGAAGUGAAAUCUAUGGGCUCAACCCAUAAACUGCUUUCAAAACUGUUUUUCUUGAGUAGUGCAGAGGUAGGCGGAAUUCCCGGUGUAGCGGUGGAAUGCGUAGAUAUCGGGAGGAACACCAGUGGCGAAGGCGGCCUACUGGGCACCAACUGACGCUGAGGCUCGAAAGUGUGGGUAGCAAACAGGAUUAGAUACCCUGGUAGUCCACACCGUAAACGAUGAUUACUAGGUGUUGGAGGAUUGACCCCUUCAGUGCCGCAGUUAACACAAUAAGUAAUCCACCUGGGGAGUACGACCGCAAGGUUGAAACUCAAAGGAAUUGACGGGGGCCCGCACAAGCAGUGGAGUAUGUGGUUUAAUUCGACGCAACGCGAAGAACCUUACCAAGUCUUGACAUCCCUUGACAGACAUAGAAAUAUGUAAUCUCUUCGGAGCAAGGAGACAGGUGGUGCAUGGUUGUCGUCAGCUCGUGUCGUGAGAUGUUGGGUUAAGUCCCGCAACGAGCGCAACCCUUAUGGUCAGUUACUACGCAAGAGGACUCUGGCCAGACUGCCGUUGACAAAACGGAGGAAGGUGGGGAUGACGUCAAAUCAUCAUGCCCUUUAUGACUUGGGCUACACACGUACUACAAUGGCGUUAAACCAAGAGAAGCAAGACCGCGAGGUGGAGCAAAACUCAGAAACAACGUCCCAGUUCGGACUGCAGGCUGCAACUCGCCUGCAC
RNAcentral lists this ribosomal RNA (1292 nucleotides) under metagenome. RNAcentral describes it as "bacterial SSU rRNA". It matches the Rfam family "Bacterial small subunit ribosomal RNA", at positions 8 to 1321 of the family's 1533-position model. The record is from RNAcentral.